This 392-nucleotide unclassified non-coding RNA is filed under the name soil metagenome. RNAcentral's name for it is "partial contains 5.8S ribosomal RNA, internal transcribed spacer 2, and large subunit ribosomal RNA". The stretch from base 1 to 122 matches the Rfam family "5.8S ribosomal RNA", at positions 35 to 154 of the family's 154-position model. The record is from RNAcentral.
GAUGAAGAACGUAGCGAAAUGCGAUACUUGGUGUGAAUUGCAGAAUCCCGUGAACCAUCGAGUCUUUGAACGCAAGUUGCGCCCGAAGCCAUUAGGCCGAGGGCACGCCUGCCUGGGCGUCACACGUCGUUGCCCCCCCCAUCUACUCCUUCGGGAUUGCGGGGGGCGGAUGAUGGCCUCCCGUGCGCCUCGCCGCGCGGUUGGCAUAAAUGCCAAGUCCUCGGCGACGCACGCCACGACAAUCGGUGGUUGCGAAACCUCGGUUGCCCGUCGUGUGCGGUCGUCGCGCAUCGAGGGCUCGAAAAAAUUGCCGAGUUCCGGCUCGGCUUUCAACGCGACCCCAGGUCAGGCGGGGUUACCCGCUGAGUUUAAGCAUAUCAAUAAGCGGAGGA